AAAGAUUAAGCCAUGCAUGUCUAAGUAUAAGCAAUUAUACGGCGAAACUGCGAAUGGCUCAUUAUAUAAGUUAUCGUUUAUUUGAUAGCACCUUACUACUUGGAUAACCGUGGUAAUUCUAGAGCUAAUACAUGCUACAAAUCCCGACUUCGGAAGGGAUGUAUUUAUUAGAUUAAAAACCAAUGCCCUCUGGGCUCUCUGGUGAUUCAUGAUAACUUCGCGGAUCGCACGGCCUUGCGCCGGCGAUGGCUCAUUCAAAUUUCUUCCCUAUCAACUUUCGAUGUUUGGGUAGUGGCCAAACAUGGUUGCAACGGGUAACGGAGGGUUAGGGCUCGACUCCGGAGAAGGAGCCUGAGAAACGGCUACUACAUCCAAGGAAGGCAGCAGGCGCGCAAAUUACCCAAUCCCGAUACGGGGAGGUAGUGACAAUAAAUACUGAUACAGGGCUCUUUUGGGUCUUGUAAUUGGAAUGAGUACAAUUUAAAUCCCUUAACGAGGAACAAUUGGAGGGCAAGUCUGGUGAACGUUGCUGGCGCCAGAAAGAGCCACCCUCUGGUAAAUAAAGUGGCUAGUCGAGUGCUCAUAAUGUGACGGGUGAGCACCGGCGAGACAACCUGGAUCGGGGGAGGCUAAGGGUCACUGCGGCCUAUGCUAAUCCCGAGCAGAGCCAGUACUUCUGGCCUGUGUAGAGCGCGCCAAGGUGUCGGUCCCGAGGUCUUCUCGGGGCUUAAGGUACGUGCCAACCCCCUGUGAAAACAGGGCCCUGCGGAGUAGCACCCGUCGUGCAAUGCCGUAGGGAGCCUUUCUGAAAGGGAAGGCGCUAUAAAAAUGGCCAGCAGCCGCGGUAAUUCCAGCUCCAAUAGCGUAUAUUAAAGUUGUUGUGGUUAAAAAGCUCGUAGUUGAACUUUGGGCCUGGCUGGCUGGUCCGCCUCACCGCGUGUACUGGUCCGGCCGGGCCUUUCCCUCUGUGGAACCCCAUGCCCUUCACUGGGUGUGGCGGGGAAACAGGACUUUUACUUUGAAAAAAUUAGAGUGCUCCAGGCAGGCCUAUGCUCGAAUACAUUAGCAUGGAAUAAUGAAAUAGGACGUGCGGUUCUAUUUUGUUGGUUUCUAGGACCGCCGUAAUGAUUAAUAGGGACAGUCGGGGGCAUCAGUAUUCAAUUGUCAGAGGUGAAAUUCUUGGAUUUAUUGAAGACUAACUACUGCGAAAGCAUUUGCCAAGGAUGUUUUCAUUAAUCAGGAACGAAAGUUAGGGGAUCGAAGACGAUCAGAUACCGUCGUAGUCUUAACCAUAAACUAUGCCGACUAGGGAUCGGACGAUGUUAUAUUUUGACUCGUUCGGCACCUUACGAGAAAUCAAAGUGCUUGGGCUCCAGGGGGAGUAUGGUCGCAAGGCUGAAACUUAAAGAAAUUGACGGAAGGGCACCACCAGGGGUAAACCGCAGUUGCUCUGCCCCUGAAAGCAGCCGGGAAACCGGUCCCGUGGGUCCUUGGCCAGAACGGCCGAAGAAUGCUAGUCGCUCCCAAAACGAGGGGGGCGGCGACACCCUCAAAUUGCGGGAAGUCCCUAAAGCCAACUGAGACCAAGCAGGCGCCCGAAAGGGCCCUGUGGCCGAGCUAGCAGCCCUGGGUAUGGUAAAACAGCAGUUGGAUGAAACAAUGGGUGAUCCGCAGCCAAGCUCCUAACCGGCAGUCGCGCAAGCGCCGCCGCACGGGGAAGGUUCAGAGACUUGACGGGGGUGGGUUCAGUGAGCAGUUCUGGGGUGGCCCUCUUAGGAGGGAAGCCCUCUGGGGAACUGUGUGCUGUGCUUAAGAUAAAGUCCGUCUACAUGCCAAAGCAUGGUAGAGCCCAGUAAAACGGGAGCCUGCGGCUUAAUUUGACUCAACACGGGGAAACUCACCAGGUCCAGACACAAUGAGGAUUGACAGAUUGAGAGCUCUUUCUUGAUUUUGUGGGUGGUGGUGCAUGGCCGUUCUUAGUUGGUGGAGUGAUUUGUCUGCUUAAUUGCGAUAACGAACGAGACCUUAACCUGCUAAAUAGCCCGUAUUGCUUUGGCAGUACGCCGGCUUCUUAGAGGGACUAUCGGCUCAAGCCGAUGGAAGUUUGAGGCAAUAACAGGUUGAAGUAUUACAGGCCUGUAAUAGUGGGCCUCAUUAAAGAUUACUGCUAGUCUAGCGACUUUACCUCCGCGGGGAAGCCCCCAUUAUCGGGCGGAGGGGGCCCUGAAAAGGGCCCUGUUGCGGGCGACACCACCUGGAACAGGGAACGCCGCAAACCCUUUACUGGGGGAACGGCCGAUCCUGUGGCGAGCCUGGGUUGCGCCAGGCCGUUGCAACGCGCGCAAAGGGGUGGGCCUUCACUGAAGGCUUAAGGUACGUGCUAAUCCCGUGGGCAACCACGCCUCUGCAACUAGGCCCGAUAAGCCGAAGUGCAGCGGGGCCACAGGCGCCACAGCGCGCCUGUAGCUGGGGCUUCUACAGCGUAUGCUGUAGAAGCCAUUUGCUGUGAUGCCCUUAGAUGUUCUGGGCCGCACGCGCGCUACACUGACGGAGCCAGCGAGUACUCCCUUGGCCGGAAGGCCCGGGUAAUCUUGUUAAACUCCGUCGUGCUGGGGAUAGAGCAUUGCAAUUAUUGC
RNAcentral lists this ribosomal RNA (2636 nucleotides) under Tolypocladium paradoxum. RNAcentral describes it as "bacterial SSU rRNA". The stretch from base 1 to 2265 matches the Rfam family "Eukaryotic small subunit ribosomal RNA". The record is from RNAcentral. Lineage: Eukaryota; Fungi; Ascomycota; Sordariomycetes; Hypocreales; Ophiocordycipitaceae.